This 704-nucleotide ribosomal RNA is filed under the name uncultured bacterium. RNAcentral's name for it is "bacterial SSU rRNA". It matches the Rfam family "Bacterial small subunit ribosomal RNA", at positions 28 to 824 of the family's 1533-position model. The record is from RNAcentral.
GAUGAACGCUAGCUACGGGCUUAACACAUGCAAGUCGAGGGACCGGCGCACGGGUGAGUAACACGUAUCCAACCUGCCGACAACACUGGGAUAGCCUUUCGAAAGAAAGAUUAAUACCGGAUGGUUGUCGAUGGGGAUGCGUUCCAUUAGGCAGUUGGCGGGGUAACGGCCCACCAAACCUACGAUGGAUAGGGGUUCUGAGAGGAAGGUCCCCCACAUUGGAACUGAGACACGGUCCAAACUCUACGGGAGGCAGCAGUGAGGAAUAUUGGUCAAUGGACGAGAGUCUGAACCAGCCAAGUAGCGUGAAGGAUGACUGCCUAUGGGUUGUAAACUUCUUUUAUACGGGAAUAUGUACCGUAUGAAUAAGGAUCGGCUAACUCCGUGCCAGCAGCCGCGGUAAUACGGAGGAUCCGAGCGUUAUCCGGAUUUAUUGGGUUUAAAGGGAGCGUAGGCGGGUUGUUAAGUCAGUUGUGAAAGUUUGCGGCUCAACCGUAAAAUUGCAGUUGAUACUGGCGUCCUUGAGUGCGGUUGAGGUGUGCGGAAUUCGUGGUGUAGCGGUGAAAUGCUUAGAUAUCACGAAGAACUCCGAUUGCGAAGGCAGCACACUAAUCCGUAACUGACGUUCAUGCUCGAAAGUGUGGGUAUCAAACAGGAUUAGAUACCCUGGUAGUCCGCACGGUAAACGAUGAAUGCUCGCUAUG